AGUCAAUAUGCCCAGGGGACGUGGAUAACCUCGGGAAACUGAGGAUAAACCACGAUAGGUCAUCACUUCUGGAAUGGGUAAUGACUUAAAUCUAUAUGGCCCCUGGAUUGGACUGCGGCCGAUCAGGCUGUUGGUGAGGUAAUGGCCCACCAAACCUGUAACCGGUACGGGCUCUGAGAGGAGGAGCCCGGAGAUGGGCACUGAGACAAGGGCCCAGGCCCUAUGGGGCGCAGCAGGCGCGAAACCUCUGCAAUAGGCGAAAGCUUGACAGGGUUACUCUGAGUGAUUUCCGUUAAGGAGAUCUUUUGGCACCUCUAAAAAUGGUGCAGAAUAAGGGGUGGGCAAGUCUGGUGUCAGCCGCCGCGGUAAUACCAGCACCCCGAGUGGUCGGGACGUUUAUUGGGCCUAAAGCAUCCGUAGCCGGUUCUACAAGCCUUCCGUUAAAUCCACCUGCUUAACAGAUGGGCUGCGGAAGAUACUAUAGAGCUAGGAGGCGGGAGAGGCAAGCGGUACUCGAUGGGUAGGGGUAAAAUCCGUUGAUCCAUUGAAGACCACCAGUGGCGAAGGCGGCUUGCCAGAACGCGCUCGACGGUGAGGGAUGAAAGCUGGGGGAGCAAACCGGAUUAGAUACCCGGGUAGUCCCAGCUGUAAACGAUGCAGACUCGGUGAUGAGUUGGCUUAUUGCUAACUCAGUGCCGCAGGGAAGCCGUUAAGUUUGCCGCCUGGGGAGUACGGUCGCAAGACUGAAACUUAA
This 754-nucleotide ribosomal RNA is filed under the name uncultured archaeon. RNAcentral describes it as "bacterial SSU rRNA". It matches the Rfam family "Archaeal small subunit ribosomal RNA", at positions 102 to 859 of the family's 1478-position model. The record is from RNAcentral.